RNAcentral lists this ribosomal RNA (377 nucleotides) under uncultured Planctomycetota bacterium. RNAcentral describes it as "bacterial SSU rRNA". It matches the Rfam family "Bacterial small subunit ribosomal RNA", at positions 521 to 896 of the family's 1533-position model. The record is from RNAcentral. Lineage: Bacteria; Pseudomonadati; Planctomycetota.
UAAGACGAAGGUGGCGAGCGUUGUUCGGUGUCACUGGGCUUAAAGAGUAUGUAGGCGGAAAAGUAAGCGCUUUGUGAAAGCCCCCGGCUUAACCGGGGAAUUGCUUGGCGAACUACUUUUCUUGAGGCAAGUAGGGGUGCAUGGAACUCUUGGUGGAGCGGUGGAAUGCGUAGAUAUCAAGAGGAACGCCGGCGGUGAAAACGGUGCACUGGGCUUGUCCUGACGCUGAGAUACGAAAGCGUGGGGAGCAAACGGGAUUAGAUACCCCGGUAGUCCACGCUGUAAACGAUGUCUACUAGGUUGCGGCGGUUCUGACAUCGGCGCGACCGAAGCAAAAGUGUUAAGUAGACCGCCUGGGGAGUACGGCCGCAAGGCUA